This 460-nucleotide ribosomal RNA is filed under the name uncultured bacterium. Its description in RNAcentral is "partial 16S ribosomal RNA". It matches the Rfam family "Bacterial small subunit ribosomal RNA", at positions 338 to 795 of the family's 1533-position model. The record is from RNAcentral.
CCUACGGGAGGCAGCAGUGAGGAAUAUUGGUCAAUGGCCGGAAGGCUGAACCAGCCAUGCCGCGUGAAGGUCAGUGCCCUAUGGGCGUUAAACUUCUUUUGUGCGGGAGCAAUAAUGGUCACGUGUGGCCAGACGAGAGUACCGUACGAAUAAGCAUCGGCUAACUCCGUGCCAGCAGCCGCGGUAAUACGGGGGAUGCAGGCGUUAUCCGGAUUUAUUGGGUUUAAAGGGUGCGUAGGCUGUGAGGUAAGUCAGCGGUGAAAUGCCCGCGCUCAACGGGGUGAAGUGCCAUUGAUACUGGCUGGCUGGAAUGCGGAUGCCGUGGGAGGAAUGUGUGGUGUAGCGGUGAAAUGCAUAGAUAUCACACAGAACACCGAUUGCGAAGGCAUCUCACGAAUCCGCGAUUGACGCUGAUGCACGAAAGCGUGGGUAUCAAACAGGAUUAGAUACCCCGGUAGUC